CACUUGCAGGUUGUUCUGUGGUUGUUUUGUGUUUUUAUGUGUGGUUUUAUUUGUUUGUUUGUUUCCUACAUGGGAACAUGUGCAAGAAAAUACUAAAAAUAUAAGUUUGGUUUUUUAUUCUGUAUUCUUCUGUAUUUUGUACCAGGAAGAAACAGAGUAUGUUCUAGCAGAUGUGGGGGGUUUUACGUGCAUCAUUUAACAUGCACUUAGGAAUGUGCUUUGUCCUUACAUAAAAUGUUUAAUUAAGUUGUUUGCCAGUAUCAUUAUGUUUGUAUAACAGAUGCUGUUAGCACCUAAUUUAACACUUGAACAUUCUCAUCUUCUCCCCAAGAAUAUUCUUCAGUCCAAUAGGCAGCGUUACAUUUGACUUCUGAAUAGAAGGUGAAGCGAUAGAACUCUAAUCAGAGUGUUUUUAUUUGCAAUUACUUAUUGAUGAGGUUUUUGCCAAAUGUUGUACACAUUAGUGACUUCACUGCGCUUCAGUCAAAGAUAAAAUGUGAAACUGGUUCUAAGGAGAAAUAACACAGUGAAGAAAUACAUAUUAGGGAAAGAUGACCUAGGGCAAGGUAAAUUCUGUGUUUUGAUUUGAAUCUGUGUACUUUGUAUUCUAAUCAUUUCUGGCACCCAGUUCUGCAGCCCUGAGCAAGUUAAUAAAAUAAAUGAAUCAAUACAUUACAAAAGAAAAAUCCCUGUCCCUUUCAUUUUCAAGUAGACUCUCAUCGAGGCAGGAAAGGUAGCGUGGGAAGCCCUACCCAUGGAGCGUGAAGCGGUGUCAAUAAAGGAAGAAAAGUUCACCGGACUGUCUUCAGGACUGUUAUUCCCAAGAGGAAGAGGCUUUGACUGUAUUACGACCACGUUCACAACUCAUUCCCUCCCAGGGGUGCUCAUCUUGUUUGCUUAGCUGGGUCCUAAUACUGGACUGCUGUCACACACAAGGUUACUCCGAGCUCAGAAUCCGUUCUUCAGAUGUUAACAAUGAUUUGGCUAUAGUAGAUGGCUCUCUGCAAGGUUUUAUGGUCUGCUGCUGUUUUGCAUAUUACCAUUAUGGGUUGGCAAGCAGGGCUUUGAGGCUCAUGGGGUGAAGCUAAUCCCUGCUUUUGCACUCUUGCAGAAAUCUUGGCAGGACUUUAGGCUAUGAAGAGAGAUGGAUGGAGGAGAAGGGUUAUGGGGAGGCUGGAAACUGCAUUUGAGACUCUGCAGGGAGUCUUAAUACUGGCAAUUUGUGUUCAGUGCGAUAAAGUGGAAAAAGUGCUUGUUUAGGAAAGCUGACAGGAGAACAGAAAGUUAAACUUUGCUGCUGCAGAUCCAGAACUCCUUCCUGAUGCUUUGACUGGGUAGGCUUAGCUUACUAUUUUAGAGCAAACAAAGCAACAUUGCAUUGUAAUGCCAGAGAAGUAAUAGAGCGCUUCCUGUACUUAAAAUUCAAUUCUACAUUCCCUGCAGAAAUGCACAUGGUUUUCUGUGAAAUAAAUACAGUUUAACAUGUUUG
This 1489-nucleotide long non-coding RNA is filed under the name Numida meleagris (helmeted guineafowl). RNAcentral's name for it is "lncRNA (ENSNMEG00000010337.1)". The record is from RNAcentral. Lineage: Eukaryota; Metazoa; Chordata; Aves; Galliformes; Numididae.